GACAGAGGUGCCGAGCGUUAGGCGGAAUCACUGGGCUUAAAGCGUGUGUAGGCGGCGGCGUAAGUACCUUGUGAAAUCCCACGGCUCAACCGUGGAACUGCUCGGUAUACUGCGUCGCUUGAGCCAGCUAGGGGCGACCGGAACAAACGGUGGAGCGGUGAAAUGCGUAGAUAUCGUAAGGAAGACCAGUGGCGAAGGCGAAUCUCUGGACAGUUACUGACACUGAGGAGCGAAAGCGUGGGGAGCGAACAGG
Molecule: ribosomal RNA, 253 nt
Filed under: uncultured bacterium
Lineage: Bacteria
Description: partial 16S ribosomal RNA
Rfam family: Bacterial small subunit ribosomal RNA
Source: RNAcentral